Molecule: long non-coding RNA, 311 nt
Organism: Mercenaria mercenaria
Lineage: Eukaryota; Metazoa; Mollusca; Bivalvia; Venerida; Veneridae
Exons: 3
Source: RefSeq, a predicted model, not a curated record
CCUGUUUAUAUACAUGUAAAUUAUGUGUGAACAGAUAACACAAAUUGUAUAAAUUGACGGUGUUGGGAUUUUUGUGUAUAAUUCAGUAAUCAGUGAAAGGGAUCCUCUGACUUUGGUCUCUGAGGGUCAGUGGUGGAGGUUGAUGAUAUCAAAUCGUUUGCCCUUGAAACCUCGUUAAGAUUUUGGAUGGAUUCUUAACUUACUUCUCAGCUUACUCAUUCCGGCCUCUGCAAACUUGUCGGCCAUGCGUUGGAGGUCGAGGACGUCUUCUAUUUCAGACUGGCAGUCACUAUCAAUUAUGGGAAAGUCGC